CGGCACGGUGAGUAACACGUAUCCAACCUGCCGUCUACUCUUGGACAGCCUUCUGAAAGGAAGAUUAAUACAAGAUGGCAUCAUGAGUCCGCAUGUUCACAUGAUUAAAGGUAUUCCGGUAGACGAUGGGGACGCGUUCCAUUAGAUAGUAGGCGGGGUAACGGCCCACCUAGUCUUCGAUGGAUAGGGGUUCUGAGAGGAAGGUCCCCCACAUUGGAACUGAGACACGGUCCAAACUCCUACGGGAGGCAGCAG
This 255-nucleotide ribosomal RNA is filed under the name uncultured bacterium. RNAcentral's name for it is "partial 16S ribosomal RNA". It matches the Rfam family "Bacterial small subunit ribosomal RNA", at positions 99 to 354 of the family's 1533-position model. The record is from RNAcentral.